UGGUGCUUGCAUCAUGAUUUACAUUUGAGUGAGUGGCGAACUGGUGAGUAACACGUGGGAAACCUGCCCAGAAGCGGGGGAUAACACCUGGAAACAGAUGCUAAUACCGCAUAACAACUUGGACCGCAUGGUCCGAGUUUGAAAGAUGGCUUCGGCUAUCACUUUUGGAUGGUCCCGCGGCGUAUUAGCUAGAUGGUGGGGUAACGGCUCACCAUGGCAAUGAUACGUAGCCGACCUGAGAGGGUAAUCGGCCACAUUGGGACUGAGACACGGCCCAAACUCCUACGGGAGGCAGCAGUAGGGAAUCUUCCACAAUGGACGAAAGUCUGAUGGAGCAACGCCGCGUGAGUGAAGAAGGGUUUCGGCUCGUAAAACUCUGUUGUUAAAGAAGAACAUAUCUGAGAGUAACUGUUCAGGUAUUGACGGUAUUUAACCAGAAAGCCACGGCAAACAACGGGCCAGCAGCCGCGGUAAUACGUAGGUGGCAAGCGUUGUCCGGAUUUAUUGGGCGUAAAGCGAGCGCAGGCGGUUUUUUAAGUUUGAUGUGAAAGCCUUCGGCUCAACCGAAGAAGUGCAUCGGAAACUGGGAAACUUGAGUGCAGAAGAGGACAGUGGAACUCCAUGUGUAGCGGUGAAAUGCGUAGAUAUAUGGAAGAACACCAGUGGCGAAGGCGGCUGUCUGGUCUGUAACUGACGCUGAGGCUCGAAAGUAUGGGUAGCAAACAGGAUUAGAUACCCUGGUAGUCCAUACCGUAAACGAUGAAUGCUAAGUGUUGGAGGGUUUCCGCCCUUCAGUGCUGCAGCUAACGCAUUAAGCAUUCCGCCUGGGGAGUACGGCCGCAAGGCUGAAACUCAAAGGAAUUGACGGGGGCCCGCACAAGCGGUGGAGCAUGUGGUUUAAUUCGAAGCUACGCGAAGAACCUUACCAGGUCUUGACAUACUAUGCAAAUCUAAGAGAUUAGACGUUCCCUUCGGGGACAUGGAUACAGGUGGUGCAUGGUUGUCGUCAGCUCGUGUCGUGAGAUGUUGGGUUAAGUCCCGCAACGAGCGCAACCCUUAUUAUCAGUUGCCAGCAUUAAGUUGGGCACUCUGGUGAGACUGCCGGUGACAAACCGGAGGAAGGUGGGGAUGACGUCAAAUCAUCAUGCCCCUUAUGACCUGGGCUACACACGUGCUACAAUGGAUGGUACAACGAGUUGCGAACUCGCGAGAGUAAGCUAAUCUCUUAAAGCCAUUCUCAGUUCGGAUUGUAGGCUGCAACUCGCCUACAUGAAGUCG
This 1278-nucleotide ribosomal RNA is filed under the name Lactiplantibacillus plantarum. RNAcentral's name for it is "bacterial SSU rRNA". It matches the Rfam family "Bacterial small subunit ribosomal RNA", at positions 62 to 1328 of the family's 1533-position model. The record is from RNAcentral. Lineage: Bacteria; Bacillati; Bacillota; Bacilli; Lactobacillales; Lactobacillaceae.